Molecule: ribosomal RNA, 478 nt
Filed under: uncultured bacterium
Lineage: Bacteria
Description: SSU rRNA
Rfam family: Bacterial small subunit ribosomal RNA
Source: RNAcentral
AGGACGAACGCUGGCGGCGUGCUUAACACAUGCAAGUCGAACGAGGCCCUACCUUCGGGUAGGUGACCUAGUGGCGAACGGGUGAGUAACACGUGGGCAACCUACCCUCAGCUCUGGGAUAACCCCCGGGAAACCGGAGCUAAUACCGGAUAUGACCUAGAACGACAUCGUUCAUGGUGGAAAGUUUUUCGGCUGAGGAUGGGCCCGCGGCCUAUCAGCUUGUUGGUGGGGUAAUGGCCCACCAAGGCGACGACGGGUAGCCGGCCUGAGAGGGCGAACGGCCACACUGGGACUGAGACACGGCCCAGACUCCUACGGGAGGCAGCAGUGGGGAAUAUUGCGCAAUGGGCGAAAGCCUGACGCAGCGACGCCGCGUGAGGGAUGAAGGCCUUCGGGUUGUAAACCUCUUUCAGCAGGGACGAAGCGAAAGUGACGGUACUGCAGAAGAAGCACCGGCCAACUACGUGCCAGCAGCCGC